This 441-nucleotide ribosomal RNA is filed under the name Bacillus anthracis (anthrax bacterium). Its description in RNAcentral is "partial 23S ribosomal RNA". It matches the Rfam family "Bacterial large subunit ribosomal RNA", at positions 1 to 431 of the family's 2925-position model. Lineage: Bacteria; Bacillati; Bacillota; Bacilli; Caryophanales; Bacillaceae. The record is from RNAcentral.
UUUGGUUAAGUUAGAAAGGGCGCACGGUGGAUGCCUUGACACUAGGAGUCGAUGAAGGACGGGACUAACGCCGAUAUGCUUCGGGGAGCUGUAAGUAAGCUUUGAUCCGAAGAUUUCCGAAUGGGGAAACCCACCAUACGUAAUGGUAUGGUAUCCUUAUCUGAAUACAUAGGGUAAGGAAGACAGACCCAGGGAACUGAAACAUCUAAGUACCUGGAGGAAGAGAAAGCAAAUGCGAUUUCCUGAGUAGCGGCGAGCGAAACGGAACAUAGCCCAAACCAAGAGGCUUGCCUCUUGGGGUUGUAGGACAUUCUAUACGGAGUUACAAAGGAACGAGGUAGACGAAGCGACCUGGAAAGGUCCGUCGUAGAGGGUAACAACCCCGUAGUCGAAACUUCGUUCUCUCUUGAAUGUAUCCUGAGUACGGCGGAACACGUGAAA